RNAcentral lists this long non-coding RNA (460 nucleotides) under Trifolium pratense (red clover). RNAcentral's name for it is "long non-coding RNA (TPRA_LNC001904)". Lineage: Eukaryota; Viridiplantae; Streptophyta; Magnoliopsida; Fabales; Fabaceae. The record is from RNAcentral.
GGAUUACGGUUUAAAUGAAAUUGAAUGUUUUGUUAUGUAAUUGCUGGAUUAGGGUUUAAAACCUUUUAAUUAGUACUAGUAGUGUUCUGUUUUUUGAAUUUUAAAGGAACCUUGCCAGCCAACAACUGAGUCUCUCUAAUGGACAUCUCGCGCCGCAAGAAAUCACAAUGGGAGAGGUUCCUCAUUGGAAGGAGCCACAGGAAUUUAAGGGUAACUCAACUAAUCAUAAAUUUCUGUUGCCGCUAACUCAUGUGGUUAAACAAGUCUUCUUCUUUUUCCUGUUUUGUCCGUCUUCUAUUAAGUUUUGUUGUUGCUGUUUCAUGUAUUUAUUUAUUUGGUUUCUUAUUUGAUGAUCAACACAAUACACAGAAUUGAGGAAAUUGUACACACCUGAAGAGCUUGAUGGGAUUCUCACUCCUGAUGAGUUUGUUUGUUGUUCACACCUGAAAAGUAUUGUCAG